Molecule: transfer RNA, 75 nt
Filed under: Candidatus Obscuribacterales bacterium
Lineage: Bacteria; Bacillati; Candidatus Melainabacteria; Candidatus Obscuribacterales
Description: tRNA-Arg
Rfam family: tRNA
About the family: Transfer RNA (tRNA) molecules are approximately 80 nucleotides in length.
Source: RNAcentral
ACCGCAUUAGCUCAGCGGAAGAGCGAUGGUUUUCUAAACCUUUGCGCCCAGGUUCGAAUCCUGGAUGCGGUUCCA